GAAAUGCGAUAAGUAGUGUGAAUUGCAGAAUUCAGUGAAUCAUCGAAUCUUUGAACGCACAUUGCGCCCCUUGGUAUUCCAUGGGGCAUGCCUGUUCGAGCGUCAUUUGUACCCUCAAGCUCUGCUUGGUGUUGGGUGUUUGUCCCCGUCUCCGCGCGUGGACUCGCCCCAAAGUGAUUGGCAGCCGGCGUACUGGUCCCGGAGCGCAGCACUUGUCGCGCAAACGAGUGCCUUGGUACGGCGGCGUCCAUAAGCCCCUCUCUCACGCUCUUGACCUCGGAUCAGGUAGGGAUACCCGCUGAACUUAAGC
Molecule: unclassified non-coding RNA, 310 nt
Filed under: plant metagenome
Description: partial contains 5.8S ribosomal RNA, internal transcribed spacer 2, and large subunit ribosomal RNA
Rfam family: 5.8S ribosomal RNA (bases 1-105)
Source: RNAcentral